This 73-nucleotide transfer RNA is filed under the name Symbiodinium sp. CCMP2592. It matches the Rfam family "tRNA". Rfam says of the family: Transfer RNA (tRNA) molecules are approximately 80 nucleotides in length. Their secondary structure includes four short double-helical elements and three loops (D, anti-codon, and T loops). Lineage: Eukaryota; Dinophyceae; Suessiales; Symbiodiniaceae. RNAcentral also lists the same sequence under 2 other names. The record is from Rfam by way of RNAcentral.
GGGGACGUAGCUCAGUUGGUAGAGCGCUUGCAUGGCAUGCAAGAGGUCGAGAGUUCAAAUCUCUUCGUCUCCA